This is a long non-coding RNA of Ornithodoros turicata, 678 nucleotides long. RefSeq lists it as uncharacterized. Lineage: Eukaryota; Metazoa; Arthropoda; Arachnida; Ixodida; Argasidae. The transcript has 2 exons. The record is from RefSeq and is a predicted model, not a curated record.
ACCGCCAUCUUUUAUUCCAGAGCUGUCUUUCUAGUAUUCGUACAAAAUCUUGAACGAAAAAGUUUCGGUUUGGCACAUUGGCGGCUACUGUAGCUGUGUCUUCAUCACAUUACUUAUCGUGAAUAAGUACAAUGACGAAUAUGGCCUACAGCUUUUGUUCCAUUUUAUAAGUUGUUGUCCCAACCAUGCCAACUACCCUGCUGCUCUUUUGUCAGGCUCCCACUGCUGCAGUGUACAACAUGCAUUACACGAGCUUCUUAUUCCAUGUGUUCAAGAGCUGUUUACUUCCACAUAGCUGACAAGAUAUCAGUGUAGUGCAGUUCUCCAAUGGCAGUAGCCCAAUGUCUGAGUUGUAGAUUUCAUUGUUCAUGCCACGGUAUAGUAUAUUUAUUGCAGUGUAUGUGAAGCCUGCCGGUACCUGUAUCAGGCUGGUUUGAAAAAUUUUGCAGCGAGAAGUGGCAAGAACAGUGCGGUCACCUAGGGAGCUCCACGGUCAGAUCAUGACUGCAAAGCGGCGCCAGCAGUUGCUACUGUCACGAGUUGCUUUCAGGAGUACACUGCCACGAAGCCCAGCCGCAAAGGCAGAAGUCUGACUGAGUGAAUUGAUCCAAUUAACGGCUACUUGGCUGACUUCCUAAAAAGGCUGUAAGACAAUAAAUUUUGUCAAAUUGACAUGCA